AUUGAACGCUGGCGGCAGGCCUAACCCAUGCAAGUCGAGCGAGCGGCGGACGGGUGAGUAAUGUCUGGGAAACUGCCUGAUGGAGGGGGAUAACUACUGGAAACGGUAGCUAAUACCGCAUACCAUCAGAUGUGCCCAGAUGGGAUUAGCUCGUAGGUGGGGUAACGGCUCACCUAGGAGACGAUCCCUAGCUGGUCUGAGAGGAUGACCAGCCACACGGGAACUGAGACACGGGCCAGACUCCUACGUGAGGAAGCAGUGGGGAAUAGUGCACAAUGGGCGCAAGCCGGAUGCAGCCAUGCCGCGUGUGGGAAGAAGGCCUUCGGGUUGUAAAGCACUUUCAGCGUGGAGGCGUUACCCGCAGAAGAAGCACCGGCUAACUCCGUGCCAGCAGCCGCGGUAAUAC
This 406-nucleotide ribosomal RNA is filed under the name uncultured bacterium. RNAcentral's name for it is "partial 16S ribosomal RNA". It matches the Rfam family "Bacterial small subunit ribosomal RNA", at positions 29 to 526 of the family's 1533-position model. The record is from RNAcentral.